GCCACCAGGGGCAUUUGCAGCUACCGCAGCAGACUCCGGACCACGGCGACUGGACGUACGAGGAGCAGUUCAAGCAGCUGUACGAGCUGGACGGUGACCCCAAGAGGAAAGAAUUCCUGGACGACCUCUUCAGCUUCAUGCAGAAGCGAGGGACCCCCGUCAACCGGAUCCCCAUCAUGGCCAAACAGGUGCUGGACCUGUACAUGCUGUACGUGCUGGUGACCGAGAAGGGGGGCCUGGUGGAAGUGAUCAACAAGAAGCUGUGGCGGGAGAUCACCAAAGGGCUCAACUUGCCCACCUCCAUCACCAGCGCGGCCUUCACCCUGCGGACGCAGUGAGUGUCCUGGGCUGGGGGACUGC
This is a non-coding RNA of Pelodiscus sinensis (Chinese soft-shelled turtle), 360 nucleotides long. The record is from RefSeq and is a predicted model, not a curated record. Lineage: Eukaryota; Metazoa; Chordata; Testudines; Trionychidae.